CCUACGGGAGGCAGCAGUGAGGAAUAUUGGUCAAUGGGCGGGAGCCUGAACCAGCCAAGCCGCGUGAGGGAAGAAGGUACAGCGUAUCGUAAACCUCUUUUGUCAGGGAACAAAGGCGGGGACUAGUCCCCGGAUGAGGGUACCUGAAGAAAAAGCAUCGGCUAACUCCGUGCCAGCAGCCGCGGUAAUACGGGGGAUGCGAGCGUUAGCCGGAUUUAUGGGGUUAAACGGGUGCGCAGGCGGCCUGUUAAGUCAGCGGUAAAAGCCCGGGGCGCAACCCCGGCGAGCCGUUGAAACUGGCGGGCUGGAGUUGGAGAGAGGUACGCGGAAUGCGCGGUGUAGCGGUGAAAUGCUUAGAUAUCGCGCAGAACCCCGAUUGCGAAGGCAGCGUACCGGCUGCACACUGACGCUGAGGCACGAAAGCGUGGGUAUCGAACAGGAUUAGAUACCCGAGUAGUC
Molecule: ribosomal RNA, 459 nt
Filed under: uncultured bacterium
Lineage: Bacteria
Description: partial 16S ribosomal RNA
Rfam family: Bacterial small subunit ribosomal RNA
Source: RNAcentral